GGGGGAGUAACUCAGUUGGUAGAGUGACGGCCUGUCGCGCCGUAAGUUCGCGGGUUCGAGUCCCGUCUCUCUCG
Molecule: transfer RNA, 74 nt
Filed under: Ophirina amphinema
Lineage: Eukaryota; Jakobea; Jakobida; Ophirinidae
Description: tRNA-Asp
Rfam family: tRNA
About the family: Transfer RNA (tRNA) molecules are approximately 80 nucleotides in length. Their secondary structure includes four short double-helical elements and three loops (D, anti-codon, and T loops).
Source: RNAcentral